AGCUCAGCCACGCCAACCGCAUGGCCGCCGAGGCCCAGAAGCAAGUCAAGAGCCUCCAGAGCUUGUUGAAGACACCCAGAUUCAGCUGGACGAUGCAGUCCGUGCCAACGACGACCUGAAGGAGAACAUCGCCAUCGUGGAGCGGCGCAACAACCUGCUGCAGGCUGAGCUGGAGGAGUUGCGUGCCGUGGUGGAGCAGACAGAGCGGUCCCGGAAGCUGGCGGAGCAGGAGCUGAUUGAGACUAGUGAGCGGGUGCAGCUGCUGCAUUCCCAGGUGAGCAGCUC
This 285-nucleotide long non-coding RNA is filed under the name Homo sapiens (human). Its description in RNAcentral is "non-protein coding lnc-MYH6-1:1". The record is from RNAcentral. Lineage: Eukaryota; Metazoa; Chordata; Mammalia; Primates; Hominidae.